UUUGAAAAUUUAGUAGACUUUUUUCAUUAAAAAUGAUAUUGUCAGCAUAACAGUUUGAAAAAAAAGUUCCGUUGAAAAAUUAACUUGAUGUUUUUGCUUUAUUGACAGCAGCACUCGAGCUGCAAACCCUGAUGAUCAUCCAGCAUGAUUUGAAAACCACCAAAGCAGCAUCUUUUGCUUCAAUGGAUGCAAGAACAUCUGACCUUUUCCAAUUUCUGCUGACUGGAAGGGCAAAGAAAGAAGACACAGGAUGAUCUAUGUGCUUCAUUAACUGUCAUCAUUGGAGUUAACAGAGACUGUGAUGUCCUCAAUGCAAAAACUGCAGAUUCAAAUAAGGAACGUGACAGGGGCCUGACAAACUAUUCUGGAGUUGUAUUUGAUGUGGAAAUAUUCUACCACAAAUUUCAAGGCCAGCAGAUAUUUGAAGAUGAAACCUUAUGUCACCUCUCACUUUAGAAAUGUUCUUUUUCCAUGCUCACAUUUCUUGAUUCUCUUUUGAGUGUUAUAUUUUCUCAUUUCAUCCUUGGAUAUGUUUCUGUGCAAGUGGUCUUUUCAUGACUAGACAGCUUUUUUAAAGAUUCCCUUUUCUAUCACGUUCAUUAAGCCUCAAACUACAGGUUUCUCAAAGGAGGUAUGUGAAAAGGUAACACCAAUUAUCAGGUCUGAACGUUUGGUUCCCCAGUCAUUUUAUUUUUUAUAUCUGUGAUGUUAAAGAUCUGUGCUUCAGCUUACACUUGUCU
Cyprinus carpio (common carp) is the source of this 740-nucleotide long non-coding RNA. NCBI's taxonomy places the organism in Eukaryota, Metazoa, Chordata, Actinopteri, Cypriniformes, Cyprinidae. The record is from Ensembl.